Molecule: ribosomal RNA, 376 nt
Filed under: Bacillus subtilis
Lineage: Bacteria; Bacillati; Bacillota; Bacilli; Caryophanales; Bacillaceae
Description: bacterial SSU rRNA
Rfam family: Bacterial small subunit ribosomal RNA
Source: RNAcentral
UCUCGGGGUUAUUGGGCGUAAAGGGCUCGCAGGCGGUUUCUUAAGUCUGAUGUGAAAGCCCCCGGCUCAACCGGGGAGGGUCAUUGGAAACUGGGGAACUUGAGUGCAGAAGAGGAGAGUGGAAUUCCACGUGUAGCGGUGAAAUGCGUAGAGAUGUGGAGGAACACCAGUGGCGAAGGCGACUCUCUGGUCUGUAACUGACGCUGAGGAGCGAAAGCGUGGGGAGCGAACAGGAUUAGAUACCCUGGUAGUCCACGCCGUAAACGAUGAGUGCUAAGUGUUAGGGGGUUUCCGCCCCUUAGUGCUGCAGCUAACGCAUUAAGCACUCCGCCUGGGGAGUACGGUCGCAAGACUGAAACUCAAAGGAUAUGACGGA